RNAcentral lists this ribosomal RNA (433 nucleotides) under uncultured bacterium. RNAcentral's name for it is "partial 16S ribosomal RNA". It matches the Rfam family "Bacterial small subunit ribosomal RNA", at positions 29 to 507 of the family's 1533-position model. The record is from RNAcentral.
AACGAACGCUGGCGGCAUGCCUAACACAUGCAAGUCGAACGAUCCCUUCGGGGAUAGUGGCGCACGGGUGCGUAACGCGUGGGAACCUUCCCUUAGGUUCGGAAUAACUCAGAGAAAUUUGAGCUAAUACCGGAUAAUGUCUUCGGACCAAAGAUUUAUCGCCUUUGGAUGGGCCCGCGUUGGAUUAGCUAGUUGGUGGGGUAAAGGCCUACCAAGGCGACGAUCCAUAGCUGGUCUGAGAGGAUGAUCAGCCACACUGGGACUGAGACACGGCCCAGACUCCUACGGGAGGCAGGAGUGGGGAAUAUUGGACAAUGGGCGAAAGCCUGAUCCAGCAAUGCCGCGUGAGUGAUGAAGGCAUUAGGGUUGUAAAGCUCUUUUAACCGGGAUGAUAAUGACAGUACCGGGAGAAUAAGCCCCGGCUAACUCCGUG